This 253-nucleotide ribosomal RNA is filed under the name uncultured bacterium. Its description in RNAcentral is "partial 16S ribosomal RNA". It matches the Rfam family "Bacterial small subunit ribosomal RNA", at positions 524 to 776 of the family's 1533-position model. The record is from RNAcentral.
UACGUAGGGGGCUAGCGUUGUCCGGAUUUAUUGGGCGUAAAGAGCGUGUAGGCGGCCAGGUAGGUCUGCUGUGAAAACUCGAGGCUUAACCUCGAGAUGUCGGUGGAAACCAUCUGGCUAGAGUCCGGAAGAGGAGAGUGGAAUUCCUGGUGUAGCGGUGAGAUGCGCAGAUAUCGGGAAGAACACCUAUGGCGAAGGCAGCUCUCUGGGACGGUACUGACGCUGAGACGCGAAAGCGUGGGGAGCGAACAGG